AUUGAACGCUGGCGGCAUGCCUUACACAUGCAAGUCGAACGGCAGCGGGGGAGAAGCUUGCUUUUCCUGCCGGCGAGUGGCGAACGGGUGAGUAAUACAUCGGAACGUGCCCUGUAGUGGGGGAUAACUAGUCGAAAGAUUAGCUAAUACCGCAUACGACCUGAGGGUGAAAGUGGGGGACCGCAAGGCCUCAUGCUAUAGGAGCGGCCGAUGUCUGAUUAGCUAGUUGGUGGGGUAAAGGCCUACCAAGGCGACGAUCAGUAGCUGGUCUGAGAGGACGAGCGGCAACGCUGGGACUGAGACACGGCCCAGGCUCCUACGGGAGGCAGGAGUGGGGAAUUUUGGACAAUGGGCGAAAGCCUGAUCAAGCAAUGCCGCGUGUGUGAAGAAGGCCUUCGGGUUGUAAAGCACUUUUGUCCGGAAAGAAAUGGCUCUGGUUAAUACCUGGGGUCGAUGACGGUACCGGAAGAAUAAGGACCGGCUAACUACGUGCCAGCCGCCGCCGUAA
Molecule: ribosomal RNA, 508 nt
Filed under: uncultured bacterium
Lineage: Bacteria
Description: partial 16S ribosomal RNA
Rfam family: Bacterial small subunit ribosomal RNA
Source: RNAcentral